CCUACGGGAGGCUGCAGUGCGGAAUUUUGGUCAAUGGACGCAAGUCUGAACCAGCCAUGCCGCGUGCAGGAUGACGGCUCUAUGAGUUUUAAACUGCUUUUGUACGAGGGUAAACGCAGAUACGCGUAUCUGUCUCAAAGUAUCGUACGCAUAGAGAUCGGCUAACUCCGUGUCAGCAGCCGCGGUGAUACGGAGGAUACAAGCGUUAUCCGGAUUUAUUGGGUUUAAAGGGUGCGUAGGCGGUCGGAUAAGUUAGAGGUGAAAUCCCGAGGCUCAACUUGGGAAUUGCCUCUGAUACUGUUCGGCUAGAGAGUAGUUGAGGUAGGCGGAAUGUAUGGUGUAGCAGUGAAAUGCUUAGAGAUCAUACAGAACACCGAUUGCGAAGGCAGCUUACCAAGCUACUUCUGACGUUGAGGCACGAAAGCGUGGGGAGCAAACAGGAUUAGAUACCCCGGUAGUC
Molecule: ribosomal RNA, 460 nt
Filed under: uncultured bacterium
Lineage: Bacteria
Description: partial 16S ribosomal RNA
Rfam family: Bacterial small subunit ribosomal RNA
Source: RNAcentral